UAGCGCGAGGGGUGGGGAGCCGCGCGUUCCCGGAAACUUUUCCCUCGAGUCUUGACCGCCGCCGCCCGCCCCCGGGAGCGCGGAGCUGGGCGCGCCCGUCUCCGGCCGGCGGUCGGCGCGCUCGGCUGGGGCCGCCGCGAAGGAACAGAACCGGAGAAGGGGACGCGCGGGGAGGCAGCGCCCGGGGCGGCGGGCAGCGGGGGGAGGCUGCGCGCAGGUCCCCGGCCAGAGGGAGGCGCGGGCACCGGGCCAGGCGGAGCCGAGACAGCCAUGGAGGAGGCGCCCAGCCCCGCGCCCGCGCUCUGGAACUGGGACUACCUGGACCAUUGCUUCGCCCGCCACCGUGUCUGCAUCUCCUUCGGCCUGUGGAUCUGCGCCUUUUCCUGCUGGAUCGCCGUCCACGCGCUGCUUCUCUAUCUGAGAUGUGGGAAGAAAUCCGGACGGGACCAGUCGGCGCUGUGUGCUGCCUGCUGCCUCCUGACCAGCCUGUGUGACACCAUCGGGGCGAUUCUGGCCAAACAGCUCACCAUCCAGGUCUUCACUGGUGCCUACCUAGCAGCUGUUGACCUGGUGAACUUUGUGUCCAUUCUCUUCCCAGUCUGCAGCUCCAAAGUCAAGUCCAGUUCAGGUCGGGGCUCCCGGGAGAGAAAGAGGAGGCGGCAGCUCAGGGCCAGCAUAUUUGCCCUGGUCCUGCCGCUGAGCCUGGGCCCAGGCUGGGCUCUGUGGGCCGCUGUCCCGAAGGCUUCAGGCCCCAUCCGAGGGCCACAGCGGAGGCUGCUGGGAAGCCUGGUACAGGACAAUACUGAAAUCCUUGGCUACCUGCUGGGCGGCAUCGCAGCCUUGGGCUCCUGGGCUUCCCGGAUCCCCCAACUCUCCAGAAUCUGCUGGGGUAGGACAUUUCCCUCCAUCUACCUGUGGACCCGGCUCCUGUCGGCCCUGGCUGGCCUCCUCUACGCCUCGGCUAUCGUGGCCCAUGACCGGCGGCCUGAAUACCUGCUACGGGCCACACCCUGGUUCCUGACCUCCCUCGGCCGUGCAGCGCUGGACCUCGCCAUCAUUUUCCUUUCCUGGGUGAUGAAGAGCAAGAUGAGGCACGCCUUGGGAUUUGCCUCUGAAGCCAGAGAGAACGCCGACACCCAAGCCCUUUUGACCUGUGCAGAGAAGGAGGAAGAAAACCAGGAAGCAAGGACCGAGAAUUCGGACUGGGUGCCUCUCACCACGCUACCGUACUGCAAGCCCCUCAAGAGGAUGGCAGCCGUCAGCCGCUACCUGGAGCUGACCAUCGAGCCUGUGCAGCGAGCUGCAGCGCCACCAGGCUGCCUGGAGAUGGACAGACAAGCACGGGGGCCACGUCCCUGCAGGAGCCCCCCUCGUACCCUCCGGUUCAGGUCAUCCGGGCGCGCGUGUCCUCCAGUAGCUCCUCCCAGGUCUCCUCCAUCAACUCUGACCUCGAGCAGAAGUAUUGGGAAGCCCUAAACUCGGAGCAGUGGGAUCCUGAAGACGUAAACCUUGGAGGGAACAAAGACAACAUGGAGAUAUUCAGACCCCGGGUGCACAGGUGGUCUAUGAAGCCAGUGGACUUGAUCUCUGAUAAGUAACACUUUCUGGAGCCAGCUCAGCAGCUCAGAGCCCAAGGUCAAGGUUUUGUCAGGAACUGGACAGGGAUCAACCUGCAGAGACAGCCAUGGCAGGAAUUUAAGCUUCUGUCAAGGCUGCCCAUGAAAGUGAGGAACCAGGAGCUGUCACGGAGCUUGGCUGGUCUGCACCACGGCUCAGAAUGGAGCUAAGACCUUGGGCCCCGUGGACAGACCUGCACACACCCAGAGUUUGUUCUGAAAAUUCAAAGUUCACAAACCAAUCUUGCUUUGAAAUAUAGUCUAAAAUAGUUUGGCCUCUCUUUUCCCUUUCCCUUUGGAUUCAACCCUACUCUGAAUAUCUGCUACAAACGAGUUCAUCUAACAAACAGCUAAUAUGUUUGGAUCUUAGGAAAUCCCCACUCCGUAAGACCUGGCUAAGCCUAGAGAGGGGUGGGCCCGCGUUUGGGGGUUUGGGACACAAUCACAGGUUCUGAUGGGACCUGGCUCCUGCCCUCCAGUCACCCACUUGAGUUUUCUGCUAGAAGUUGAGAGAGGACUGUUCGAUCAACCAAGUGUUUGCAAGGUCACUGGUAUUGCAAGGGUGAGCAAAGCAAAGUGCUCUAGGUACCAGGACUUGCUCCAGCCUGGCCCAGUGUGUGCUGGGCUAGGGUCUGCAGGUGAAGGGGACCGUCUGCUUCAGGAGGUAACUGAAAGCAUGCAAAGGGUAAGAGGCAUGGUGGGAGGGGCUCGAUUCAGGCACCGAAAUCCCCUCUCAGGAUUAUUUUGGAGCUAAGGUGGGAGGAACGCUGCAAUGAAUAAACCCUGAUUGAGUGAACUGAAGUAUCUCACCAUGGAGCACAGAGAUACAUCUGAAUCCCAGCACAGCCACAGAAGUUGGCCACCAGGGGACCUGGGAGAAAUGCCAAGAAACACAGCUCUGCUCCUAGCCGGCCCCUGGCAGCCUGUGUGACUCAGCUGCAGCUGCCCAGUUGCUCCUGAGGGGUAGUGCAAGUCCCAGCAGCAUGAAAGAGGGGGUGCCUCAGGGAAGCAGGUUGUUCCACAGGUCUCUGCACAGAUUCCAAUCCCCUGCAUGAUCUCUGAACUAGAAGUGAACCUAAAGCCACCCUAUUUAUCCAACUGCUUUGGAUCCUGGUUGUCUUUUAAUGGAGUCUGCUAAAGUCAAUUUUGCUCUGUGAUCUUAAUCACUGAAGCUGUACUUUGAGGGAAGAUGAAACUUUUAACUGGGGACAGGGGGAGGUUGGGAGAACAUUCCAGCAGAUGAAAGCACACAGAGGAUUGGAAGCAGGGAAGGGGGGACUCUAGCUAAGGAAAGAGGACUCUGAUGUGGCCAGAAUGGGUGUAGGGGGUGGGUGAAGAGGCUGGAAAGGAACCUGGGAGUUGGUGCUUAAUUCUUUGGCUGACUGGUAGCUGUUGCAAGAUACAGAGUAGGAAGCUGACUGACAUGCCUCAGGUGGGCCCCAGCUGAUCGGUGAGUUUUACAUCCCUGCAGCCACGACUUUUCAAGAAGCAGAAAUGUACAGUCAUGGAUACAGUACCAACUUGGGGAACAUGUUGAAUUUGAUUAGUAACAGCAGGGCAGGAGGAGGGCUCAUCUUUGGAAAAGCAGAAGGCCUGGGGAUAGGAUGACAUCCCUGGAGUUUGUCUUUAGCACAUCGCCCCUCCCGACGGGAGGCUGGCUCAUGUCCCUGGGGCACCAGAAAUUGGUUGGAUCCUAAUGGAAAUGGCCAUUCACUCAAGAACAUCAAAUGCUCUCGCUGGCUUUGAGCAGCACGAACUACUUGAGCUCCAGAUGUUAACCAUCUCUCUAGAUCCCAUCGUCCCUGCCUCUUCCUUCACAAACCAGUUGUUAUCGUGUCCAAGCUGGUCUCAAAAUGGGAUCUCAGAGUGAACUUUUAAACUGACAAUUUUGGCAGCAAAGUUUGGCCUCGUCGUUCAAUGAGAAUCUGCCUGUUAUGCAAAGCUCUGGAACUCUGGAGCCUUUGGGAAGAGAUGCCAACCCAAAUGCCUUCCUCCCAGCAGGAGUGUUCCCACCCUGGGCCUCCACUGCAGCUUCAUCCCUAGCCGUUAGUCAGACCAGGAGGAUAACGGGAGUUACUUUCCCUGAAGACCCACUGAGCAGCGCAAGGGGGUUACCUACACUAGGGAGAAGCUGGGGGAACCAACUGUGUCAUCAUCCUCUCCUGCCCACUCAUCUGGAGGUGUCCUAGUAUUUGGGGCGUCUCCAGUGCAAGUCUGAGAAAUUUUCUAAACCCACAGCUGGAACAAGGGCUCUCGUACACUGCAGCUGCCACAAUCUUUCCCAAGGGCAGCCUGACCACGUGUGAGAAGAGCUAUCCCAUAGGCCUUUCCUCUGACCAGCACUUGCACUUUGGAAUAUGUAGGUCCUCAAGCUCUGAUGUGUGUGAUAUCUGUUCAAAUAUGGGCUCUUAGUCUCCACUCCAGGGUUUCCUAGAUCUGGGCAGGGUCUGGGAAUCUUUGACAAGCUCCUCAGGUGAUUCUUUGAGAGCACUGCCCUCAGGAAGUUACUUUUAAAGUGAUCUAUUUGUAUGAGAUGUUCUCAUAAAACUAUUUAGAAUAGGGGGAAAAAAAGUGAUAAAGCCCCAAAACUCCACUUGUUCGGAAAGAUUAAACAUUAUAGUUUCAUGAAGAAAUGCUAUUUUGGCAUUAAACCUAAAAGAUUACAGACCUGUAGACUGAGGAACAGACUUGAAUUACCUUGAAAUCAUCUACUUCAGUGCCUGAGCGGCCUGCUCAUUCUCACAACACGAAUUCCCAGUUCUAACAUGGGAAGAAAAAUCUGCAGAAGACAAUGUCAGGUAAUAAAGUAGAAUCCAAGAGAGCGUGUGCCACCAUCAGCAAUUAUUUUCAAAACACUGUGUACUGACAAUAUCAGAUGAGUCUUACUGUGAGACUUUCCAUAGUCAGGGGAUUAUGUGGAUUCUUGUACUAGUGGUUUCUGACUGUGGAAGCAGUUGAAUACAUCCCCCAAUUAAAAAAUAGUUCCCCCUAAAUUCCCUUUCCUUUCAAGCUUGCAGCAUAAAACU
RNA transcript from Balaenoptera acutorostrata (minke whale), 4642 nucleotides. It is a transcript of the gene named transmembrane protein 44, with no coding region annotated. The transcript has 12 exons. The record is from RefSeq and is a predicted model, not a curated record. NCBI's taxonomy places the organism in Eukaryota, Metazoa, Chordata, Mammalia, Artiodactyla, Balaenopteridae.